RNAcentral lists this long non-coding RNA (1724 nucleotides) under Olea europaea subsp. europaea. Lineage: Eukaryota; Viridiplantae; Streptophyta; Magnoliopsida; Lamiales; Oleaceae. The record is from RNAcentral.
CCUCACCAUAAAUCCAUGCAUAUUCACAUGAUCACCUGUAAUGUUCAUAUAAUAUAUCAAGACAAUAGACUAACUCUAUUAAAACAUGUUUACUUUAAGAAUACAAAAGUAUUACUAUUCUAUUUCACAAGUCAUACAUACGUAAGUUUUAAAAAGAUUGUAAGACCAAAUGGACAUUCCCUAAAAUAACCCUACAAGUCGUCAUCAAUGUUUAUCGACUUUCGAAAUCCUGCAAGAGCUUCACAUCCCAGCAAUGUUAUGUAUGGAGCUCCAAGCUCAUCAAACUCACUACAAUUCAAGAACUACAUAAGCUAAUGCUCAAUAUGUAAAAAUUAUGCAUGCCAUGAAUAUGAAUGUGUCCAUGCCAUUUCUUUUGAAAACAUUAUGCAAAUGAUACAUCAUAUUAAAAUAUUCAUCAAAGCAAGCUCAAAAUAAUUUCAUUUGAAAAUGUCUCUUUUCAUUGGGUCCUUCACGCACCUACUAUGCACCGAAUAGAGUUUUAUGCAAUAUCAAUAUCAAUAAUCAAAUGUCCAAUAUAAUAUCGAUACAGUCAAGUGGACCAUCCUCCUAUGACCACUAGAGGUACAUCCCUAACUGCCCCUAUGAUCAAUCACCCAAGAAUUAUCCCAUCCUGACAUCAAUAAUCAUAAUAUCACCAAAGCAUAAUCAAGUGGUCCAUCAUCCCGUGAUCGUCAAAGGUACAUUCCCUAUAUUCCUACAUGAUAACAGGAAAGUCUCACUUGUGAUGCCAACAAAUAUCACAUAAGCAAGCUCGCAUGCCUUGGUGCCCAAAUUGUGGUCAAUAAAAUAUUUUAUAAUGUAAAUUCAUUUUUUCAAAUCAUGUCGUGCAUGCUAGAUAUUUUUUAGUGUGGACAUGUCAUGCAUGCACAUAUAAAUGCUUAUGAAUAGCAUACUCAAUCAAAGUGGAUGCCAACAUGCUCUUGAAACACCUAAUCAAUCAUCAUGACCAACAUAGGAUACAAUAAGUUCAUUAUCAAAAUUACAUAAAAGUCAUGACAAUGAUAAAUAGAAAAAUAUUUCAAUGGAUACUAUGUUCUUGCAUCGUAAUUGCAAAUGAGUUUUUACUUAUCUUUUGCCUCCGUGUGUGUGCUCUGUAUGAGGUAUAAGUCAAGUCUUUUUCCCACCUAAAGUUGAAAAAAAAUAAAAAUUAAAAAAAUUAAAACCCAUAUUAUCAUCUAAUAUCAAACAAUAUUCUCAAUUUGUUAAUCUUAACUCACACAAAAUCCUGUACUACAACCACAAACGCCAACAUAACUAGAUAGCAUUAGCAUUUCAAGCAACCAGUAUAACUCGCGCUAUUUUCAAGUUCAAUGAAUGUAAAAACUAUCUAAUUCAAUCAUUAACGACCUAACACUCAUUCUAAAAUCAAAUUUCCAAGCUUUAGAGGUGAUUAGUGAUCACGUAAAUGUGAAACUACAUGAAAUUUGAAAAUGGAAAGAAUCUGAUUUUGAGUUCCUAUCACUGUCCACUUAAUUUUCUUACCACUUUUUGCACCCUUAACCAUACCAAACUUUUACCGAACUUAUAUAACAUCCAUAUGAAUGAAAUAAUGCCCUAAAAUUGCCAUAAGUGAAAGGUUUGCAGCAUCAAAGUCAGUCCCUUUUUUCAGAAUACCAAAUCAGAAAUUUCACUAUGGCUGAUAAGAACCAUGGGACAAAGGAGUCAAAAGGUGACGCACACGCAAGCAAAAUAGGCCAUGCUCG